Molecule: transfer RNA, 72 nt
Filed under: Heterocephalus glaber (naked mole-rat)
Lineage: Eukaryota; Metazoa; Chordata; Mammalia; Rodentia; Bathyergidae
Rfam family: tRNA
About the family: Transfer RNA (tRNA) molecules are approximately 80 nucleotides in length.
Source: Rfam by way of RNAcentral
GGGGAUGCAGCUCAGAGGUAGAGUGUUUGGCUAGCAUGCAUGAGGCCCUGGGUGUGAUUCCCAGUACCACCA